This 28-nucleotide small RNA is filed under the name Bombyx mori (domestic silkworm). Its description in RNAcentral is "ovarian small RNA-25522". The record is from RNAcentral. Lineage: Eukaryota; Metazoa; Arthropoda; Insecta; Lepidoptera; Bombycidae.
UCAGAAAUAUUUAGCAACAGCCGGCCUU